This 498-nucleotide ribosomal RNA is filed under the name uncultured bacterium. RNAcentral describes it as "partial 16S ribosomal RNA". It matches the Rfam family "Bacterial small subunit ribosomal RNA", at positions 30 to 523 of the family's 1533-position model. The record is from RNAcentral.
AUUGAACGCUGGCGGCAUGCCUUACACAUGCAAGUCGAACGGUAACAGGUCUUCGGAUGCUGACGAGUGGCGAACGGGUGAGUAAUACAUCGGAACGUGCCUAGUAGUGGGGGAUAACUACUCGAAAGAGUGGCUAAUACCGCAUGAGAUCUACGGAUGAAAGCAGGGGAUCGCAAGACCUUGUGCUACUAGAGCGGCCGAUGGCAGAUUAGGUAGUUGGUGGGAUAAAAGCUUACCAAGCCGACGAUCUGUAGCUGGUAUGAGAGGACGAUCAGCCACACUGGGACUGAGACACGGCCCAGACUCCUACGGGGGGCAGCAGUGGGGAAUUUUGGACAAUGGGCGAAAGCCUGAUCCAGCAAUGCCGCGUGCAGGAUGAAGGCCUUCGGGUUGUAAACUGCUUUUGUACGGAACGAAAAGCCCCGGGUUAAUACCCUGGGGUCAUGACGGUACCGUAAGAAUAAGCACCGGCUAACUACGUGCCAGCCGCCGCAGUAA